Procambarus clarkii (red swamp crayfish) is the source of this 290-nucleotide non-coding RNA. NCBI's taxonomy places the organism in Eukaryota, Metazoa, Arthropoda, Malacostraca, Decapoda, Cambaridae. The record is from RefSeq and is a predicted model, not a curated record.
GAUCGUCAGAUCAGCUGUGUCGCGCUUGCAUACAGGUUAUCUGCGUGUUGAACCACAUGACCCCAGACGCUGUAAUAUUGGUGGUACCAAUCGUUUCAUCCGUAUAGUUAGACGGUGUCUUCUGUCUCCGGUAACAGCAUGUACUACGGCUGGCGUGGACCCCCCAUAGCUAAGGAUCCCACUCGCCGCCAACACCAGCUGUGAUUUCCUUCCCUAUCACUACCUGCACCACCACCAGCUGUGACUGGCCCUCACCAUCACCAGCUGUGACUGGCCUCACCAUCACCAGC